RNAcentral lists this ribosomal RNA (499 nucleotides) under uncultured bacterium. Its description in RNAcentral is "partial 16S ribosomal RNA". It matches the Rfam family "Bacterial small subunit ribosomal RNA", at positions 28 to 523 of the family's 1533-position model. The record is from RNAcentral.
GAUGAACGCUGGCGGCGUGCCUAACACAUGCAAGUCGAGCGAGAAGUUUGAAAAAUGAGUUUUCGAACAAGUGAUUCAAACGGAAAGCGGCGGACGGGUGAGUAACGCGUAGGCAACCUGCCCCGUGCAGAGGGACAGCCUCGGGAAACCGGGAUUAAGACCUCAUGAUAUCGGGUUAUCACAUGGUAAUCCGGUCAAAGAUUUAUCGGCAUGGGAUGGGCCUGCGUCUGAUUAGCUGGUUGGUGGGGUAACGGCCUACCAAGGCGACGAUCAGUAGCAAAACGGAGAGGUUCAUCUGCCACAUUGGAACUGGGACACGGUCCAAACUCCUACGGGAGGCAGCAGUGAGGAAUAUUGCACAAUGGGCGAAAGCCUGAUGCAGCAACGCCGCGUGAGCGAGGAAGGCCUUUGGGUCGUAAAGCUCUGUCCUUGGGGAAGAAACAAAUGACGGUACCCUUGGAGGAAGCCCCGGCUAACUACGUGCCAGCCGCCGCGGUAA